Molecule: long non-coding RNA, 753 nt
Organism: Setaria italica (foxtail millet)
Lineage: Eukaryota; Viridiplantae; Streptophyta; Magnoliopsida; Poales; Poaceae
Exons: 3
Source: RefSeq, a predicted model, not a curated record
CCUCGGAACGGGCGUUCCGGGGCUUAUUCUAGGUAGUUUGAAGCGGUCCGUUUCGAAAUCAGGCAUGCUUUGGAAGUAUUGUUUGUUUCGGUCCGGCCCGGUUUGACCUUCCCCCACUCGGAAACUUUCUGGCCCGGAUUGAAACCCCACCCCCUCCCCUCUGGAUCGAAUCCUUCACGACUCCACAGCGCGGGAAGAGCUAGCGGCGCGGGGGAGAGCUGGCGGCGCGCGAGGCGACGAGGUGCCGGCACGAGGUGAUGGCAUGGCGGCGCGGCGCACCCCGACGGCGAUCCUCUCCGCCGUCUUCUCACCGGUGAUGUUGAGGCCGGACCUCGUGCGUGUGGUGUCCCUAUCGUGCCUGGUGUGAUCUGCAGUCGUCUAAGAUCCGAACAAGAAAUUGACGGAUCACCAGGAUUUAGUGACAGAUCAGGAUCCACUCGAUCCAGACCUGGAAUGAAAGCAGCUGUGGAAAAAAUCCACUCCUACCGAACGAGGCCUUAAGGAUCCCAUCAGCCAUCACCUGGUUUUACAUUCUCCGUCACGCGCUGAAAGGGACUCGCCCUUUGGUUACUUUGCAGCUUGUUUAUGCCAUGGCCAUGUAUGUCGUCACUAUGGUUUUACUUUGACCACGAAUACUUGUACGAACUAUAUGUACUUUGUGAGAAUUCAAAGAUGUGGGGUCUGGUUUGGAAGAUGUGUAAAUUCCUUCUAUGCUAUUGAAAGCUAUACAUAUCCCUUCUAUGAUCAGUGUCA